Molecule: ribosomal RNA, 773 nt
Filed under: Streptomyces sp.
Lineage: Bacteria; Bacillati; Actinomycetota; Actinomycetes; Kitasatosporales; Streptomycetaceae
Description: bacterial SSU rRNA
Rfam family: Bacterial small subunit ribosomal RNA
Source: RNAcentral
CCAUGCAAGUCGAACGAUGAACCACUUCGGUGGGGAUUAGUGGCGAACGGGUGAGUAACACGUGGGCAAUCUGCCCUGCACUCUGGGACAAGCCCUGGAAACGGGGUCUAAUACCGGAUACUGACCUUCACGGGCAUCUGUGAAGGUCGAAAGCUCCGGCGGUGCAGGAUGAGCCCGCGGCCUAUCAGCUUGUUGGUGAGGUAAUGGCUCACCAAGGCGACGACGGGUAGCCGGCCUGAGAGGGCGACCGGCCACACUGGGACUGAGACACGGCCCAGACUCCUACGGGAGGCAGCAGUGGGGAAUAUUGCACAAUGGGCGAAAGCCUGAUGCAGCGACGCCGCGUGAGGGAUGACGGCCUUCGGGUUGUAAACCUCUUUCAGCAGGGAAGAAGCGAAAGUGACGGUACCUGCAGAAGAAGCGCCGGCUAACUACGUGCCAGCAGCCGCGGUAAUACGUAGGGCGCAAGCGUUGUCCGGAAUUAUUGGGCGUAAAGAGCUCGUAGGCGGCUUGUCACGUCGGUUGUGAAAGCCCGGGGCUUAACCCCGGGUCUGCAGUCGAUACGGGCAGGCUAGAGUUCGGUAGGGGAGAUCGGAAUUCCUGGUGUAGCGGUGAAAUGCGCAGAUAUCAGGAGGAACACCGGUGGCGAAGGCGGAUCUCUGGGCCGAUACUGACGCUGAGGAGCGAAAGCGUGGGGAGCGAACAGGAUUAGAUACCCUGGUAGUCCACGCCGUAAACGGUGGGCACUAGGUGUGGGCAACAUUCCACGUUGU